Molecule: long non-coding RNA, 274 nt
Filed under: Lepidothrix coronata (blue-crowned manakin)
Lineage: Eukaryota; Metazoa; Chordata; Aves; Passeriformes; Pipridae
Description: lncRNA (ENSLCOG00000006387.1)
Source: RNAcentral
UGACACCCACACAGGGGCUCUGAUGUGAUGGAAAAGCAAACAUCAAGGUCCAAGAGAGCUGCACAAAAGCAGCGCUUUCCAGCUGCUCUUGCCUGCUCUGGGUGACCUCCUGGGCAGUUAUGUGGUGCUGGGGAGGAGACAGGAGGCUGAGAUGUGAUCCCAGAUGUCUCAGACACCCUCAUCCUCUGCAUAAUAAGAGACCUCCCUGGCAGCAGGGGGAUGAGAAGAGGAACAACCUACUUUGAACCCUCACCAGGCUCAGCAUGAGACCAGC